GAGGAAUAUUGGUCAAUGGGCGGAAGCCUGAACCAGCCAUGCCGCGUGCAGGAAGGAGGCCCUACGGGUUGUAAACUGCUUUUACCCGGGAAGAAACCGCCCCCUGUGGGGGGCGUUGCCGGUACCGGGGGAAAAAGGAUCGGCUAACUCCGUGCCAGCGGCCGCGGUAAUACGGAGGAUCCGGGCGUUAUCCGGAAUUACUGGGUUUAAAGGGUGCGUAGGCGGGGCUUUAAGCCGGCGGUGAAAUGCAGCGGCUCAACCGCUGGAAUGCCAUUGGGACUGGGGCUCUUGGAUACGGUCGGGGCGGGUGGAACUCGUGGUGUAGCGGUGAAAUGCAUAGAUAUCACGAGGAACGCCGGUAGCGAAGGCAGCUCGCCGGGCCGGUAUUGACGCUGAGGCACGAAAGCGUGGGGAUCGAACAG
RNAcentral lists this ribosomal RNA (422 nucleotides) under uncultured bacterium. Its description in RNAcentral is "bacterial SSU rRNA". It matches the Rfam family "Bacterial small subunit ribosomal RNA", at positions 356 to 775 of the family's 1533-position model. The record is from RNAcentral.